This is a long non-coding RNA of Pseudoliparis swirei, 692 nucleotides long. RefSeq lists it as uncharacterized. The transcript is spliced from 3 exons. The record is from RefSeq and is a predicted model, not a curated record. Lineage: Eukaryota; Metazoa; Chordata; Actinopteri; Perciformes; Liparidae.
GAUGGUUUACAGCUGAACCGCUGAGGACUGUGUCUGGACCCGGGGCACCUGAUGACAUGCCGGUGUUGCGGUGCGGACAGAAACCCUGCAGAACCAAUUAGUGCUACGGAGACGGCUUGUGAAUCGCAUUCGUUUCCUAACAUCAGGACACGUGCAUUGUUUAUAUUAGGCGACGGAGUCAAGCUAUUGACUCACGCAAUGAGGGCCGGGAUGAAAAUAUCACUGCAGCGUGAACAAAGGGUCCCUCAGGAGGAGAAGCAUCUAUCUCGGAUGGCUGGGGUUCAGACAUUCAGACUCUGUUGUUGGCAGCUUAUGGAAAAUCACCAUCUUUGCAAGGCAGCUUGCCAAGGGGCUGCCUGCCCCCCCGCCUCUUCCCCCCACCCCCGUCACCGCCGGCCUGCAGGGCUGGGCAUAGCAGCAAUUACAUUUGAUCCUGCUUCCCAUCUCGUCAGUCCAACUCCCUUCACCUGCCUCUGAUCACUCCCUCGUCAAUCCCUCAUUACCUUCACCUGGUCCUCAUGCCCGUCUCACCUGUUGUCCAUUCCCUCGUUAGUCCCUGUCUACUUAGGUCCCCUCACAUGCACUUGUCCUCUGCCAGAUUGUUUUGUGUUCUUCCUGACCAAGCCCUCCAGAGUUACAAAUUGUAUCUAUCUGUUCCUGCCUGUUUUGUUCCUACCAUUACUCGGAGUAAA